AUUUCCAGGCCCGGACUGGCCAUCGGGCACACCGGGCAAAUGCCCGGUGGGCCGCGGUGGCCGUGGGGCCGAGGCCGGCAGGGGAGGUCCCAGGAUCUCCCCUGCCGGUCUAUGCAGGGCCGGCACUCUCCCAGCGCCGGCCCCGCUGUUUGUCACGACGGGCCGGUGGGGAGAUCAAGGAUCUCCCUCACCGGCCAAUUUAAAUAGACCUGCGGCUGGGGAGGGAGGGAGAGGACCCGGCGGAGCUCUGUCUUGCAGCUCCGCCGGGUUUCUCUCGCGAGAUCCGGAGCGUUGCCAUGGCAACGCCCCGAUCUCGCGAGAGGGUUCACUCACCACUGGACCACCAGGGAUGGUGUGCGAGUGCCGGUGCCCCCCCUCCCAGCUACCACGUGCAUGUCCCCCCUCCCAGGCUAAAGGUAAGAAGGAAGGGGGGGGGCCGGCUUAGUUUUUUUUUUUUUUUAUAUAUUUACCCCCACUUAAUUUUUUAUUUGUUUAUUUACCCCCCAACACACAACAUUUAUACACAGCACUAUCACACUCAGCAUUCUCAGCACUCACACAGCACUCUCACACACAUCACACCCAGCACUCUCACACCCAGCACUCUCACACUCAGCACUCUCACACUCAGCACUCUCACACACAGCACUCUCACACUCAGCACUCUCACACACAUCACACGCAGCACUCUCACACACAUCACACGCAGCACUCUCACACACAUCAUAGCACUCUCACACACAGCACUUUCACACACAGCACUCUCACACACAUCAUAGCACUCUCACACACAGCACUUUCACACUCAGCACUCUCACACACAUCACACGCAGCACUCUCACACAC
Molecule: non-coding RNA, 846 nt
Organism: Pelobates cultripes (western spadefoot toad)
Lineage: Eukaryota; Metazoa; Chordata; Amphibia; Anura; Pelobatidae
Source: the annotation of a GenBank genome assembly